Molecule: ribosomal RNA, 1325 nt
Filed under: Brinjal little leaf phytoplasma
Lineage: Bacteria; Bacillati; Mycoplasmatota; Mollicutes; Acholeplasmatales; Acholeplasmataceae
Description: bacterial SSU rRNA
Rfam family: Bacterial small subunit ribosomal RNA
Source: RNAcentral
AAGUAACCUGCCUUUAAGACGAGGAUAACAACCGGAAGGUUACUAAGACUGGAUAGGAAACAAAAAGGCAUCUUUUUGUUUUUAAAAGACCUUCUUACGAAGGUAUGCUUAAAGAGGGGCUUGCGCCACAUUAGUUAGUUGGUAGAGUAAAAGCCUACCAAGACGAUGAUGUGUAGCUGGACUGAGAGGUUGAACAGCCACAUUGGGACUGAGACACGGCCCAAACUCCUACGGGAGGCAGCAGUAGGGAAUUUUCGGCAAUGGAGGAAACUCUGACCGAGCAACGCCGCGUGAACGAUGAAGUAUUUCGGUAUGUAAAGUUCUUUUAUUGAAGAAGAAAAAGUAGUGGAAAAACUAUAUUGACGUUAUUCAAUGAAUAAGCCCCGGCUAACUAUGUGCCAGCAGCCGCGGUAAGACAUAGGGGGCGAGCGUUAUCCGGAAUUAUUGGGCGUAAAGGGUGCGUAGGCUGUUAGAUAAGUCUAUAAUUUAAUUUCAGUGCUUAACGCUGUCUUGUUAUAGAAACUGUCUUGACUAGAGUGAGAUAGAGGCAAGCGGAAUUCCAUGUGUAGCGGUAAAAUGUGUAAAUAUAUGGAGGAACACCAGAAGCGUAGGCGGCUUGCUGGGUCUUUACUGACGCUGAGGCACGAAAGCGUGGGUAGCAAACAGGAUUAGAUACCCUGGUAGUCCACGCCGUAAACGAUGAGUACUAAGUGUCGGGGUAAAACUCGGUACUGAAGUUAACACUUCAACCUACUCCGCCUGAGUAGUACGUACGCAAGUAUGAAACUUAAAGGAAUUGACGGGACUCCGCACAAGCGGUGGAUCAUGUUGUUUAAUUCGAAGAUACACGAAAAAUCUUACCAGGUCUUGACAUACUCUGCAAAGCUAUAGAAAUAUAGUGGAGGUUAUCAGGGAUACAGGUGGUGCAUGGUUGUCGUCAGUUCGUGUCGUGAGAUGUUAGGUUAAGUCCUAAAACGAACGCAACCCUUGUCGUUAAUUGCCAGCACAUAAUGGUGGGGACUUUAACGAGACUGCCAAUUAAACAUUGGAGGAAGGUGAGGAUUACGUCAAAUCAUCAUGCCCCUUAUGAUCUGGGCUACAAACGUGAUACAAUGGCUGUGACAAAGAGUAGCUGAAACGCGAGUUUUUAGCCAAUCUCAAAAAAGCAGUCUCAGUUCGGAUUGAAGUCUGUAACUCGACUUCAUGAAGUUGGAAUCGCUAGUAAUCGCGAAUCAGCAUGUCGCGGUGAAUACGUUCUCGGGGUUUGUACACACCGCCCGUCAAACCACGAAAGUUAGCAAUGCCCGAAAGCAGUAGCUUAACUU